GAUGAACGCUGGCGGCGUGCUUAACACAUGCAAGUCGAACGAAGCACUUAAGAUUGAUUCUUCGGAUGACGUCUUUUGUGACUUAGUGGCGGACGGGUGAGUGACGCGUGGGUAACCUGCCUCACACAGGGGGAUAACAGUUAGAAAUGACUGCUAAUACCGCAUAACCCGAUAGGAUCGCAUGAUCCAGACGGAAAAGAUUUAUCGGUGUGAGAUGGACCCGCGUCUGAUUAGCUAGUUGGUGAGGUAACGGCCCACCAAGGCGACGAUCAGUAGCCGGCCUGAGAGGGUGAACGGCCACAUUGGGACUGAGACACGGCCCAAACUCCUACGGGAGGCAGCAGUGGGGAAUAUUGCACAAUGGGGGAAACCCUGAUGCAGCGACGCCGCGUGAGUGAAGAAGUAUUUCGGUAUGUAAAGCUCUAUCAGCAGGGAAGAAAAUGACGGUACCUGACUAAGAAGCCCCGGCUAACUACGUG
This 479-nucleotide ribosomal RNA is filed under the name uncultured bacterium. Its description in RNAcentral is "partial 16S ribosomal RNA". It matches the Rfam family "Bacterial small subunit ribosomal RNA", at positions 28 to 507 of the family's 1533-position model. The record is from RNAcentral.